UGACGUUGUUGCACUCCACUCCAGCGGGUGGCGAUAGUACAUCUAAUACGCUAUACAGCCAUGACACGUUUUUUUUAAUUUAUUUUUGUUUUACUGUACCAAGCAACAACAUUGGCUAAUUAGCUAGCAACAAACUAUAAUUAUCUAGAAUGUCUAAAAUACAGCUGUUGAGAGGGUUUCUCAACCAGCGAUUAACAGCGGCUGCUGAGGAGAUAUUCGAGGUAGUUGAACAAACGAUAGCAGAGUACCAGGAAGAAUGUUUCCGUACAAAGGAGGAGAACGUCCGUUUACAGAAGCUGCUGGAUAUCGUCAUUAAACCUGUAAUAAAGUUACAUCGAACAGACCUGCCAGCAGUUCAGCUGCAGUCACAGCAGUCCUCUGUGGUAUUUAAUUUACCAGCUGCACCAGAUCCUGCUACACUGGCCGUGAAGAGAGAAACUUUUGAGGAGCCCCUAAUAGAUACAGAUAAUUCACAAUGAUAUUACAUACUCAUGUUUUCACUCAUUCUCUCACUCACUCACAAACACGUUGUUGAGCUGUAUAUUCAUUGUCACUUUGUGCAUCUCUCUUUUAGAUCUGCCCUGCACUCCACUGCCCCUGAGCGCCUCUUCCAGAAGUACACGUACUAGGCUUAUUAAGGCUGGCUCCUCACUGAACACCAGCCCUGAGAAGCUCCUCCAGACACCACAACUGUGGCUAACUGUGGCUAACUGUGGGAAGUGACACAGUCAGUGUCCCAGUCACAGCCUUGCCACCUGCUGUUGUCAAUCCACCAUCCUUGUCAACCCAAGACAUCCCUCUGACUAAAGAUGAGAGGAUGGUCCUGGGCAUCUUGGAGAAGCAGCAACCGCAGCUAGAUGGGCCACAACAAGAACAGUGGAAGCAGCAGAAGCAGACAAAAACAUGUAUUUCCUGUGGUCAGGCCAAGUCCCAAUACCGCAAGAAUGGUUUGUCUGUCCACUUUUUCUAUCAGCGUGGACAGGUGAGGUAUUUUUACUGUUCCACCAAGGUCUUCCAGACUUAUGGUGCAGAGGGCCUCACAAACCCCAAAAUGUAUUUUGAUGACUUUGCUUCCACUGAAUUCUUUCAGGGUGAACUUAAAGCCACAAAAGAACGUGUGGCACAAAAGAAGACCAAAACGAAGUCAGCUGAUCUGCAACCCUCUAGGCAUAUGUGCAGGUUUUGUCAUCUGCAGAUGAAACAAGGCCCCAACAGCCCUCACAUACACACAGGGUUCCCAGGAGUGACAGGCAAAUAUGUUUAUUGUCCUGCAAAAGUAUUUUCGAGGUACCAAAGCCAAGGAAUGGAAAGAAAGAUGACCUGGAGGGAGUUCCUGGUCUCAGCUUUUUAUGAAGCGGAAAAGCAGAGAUGGGUAGCUAACAAGAACAAAUAAAACAACAUUCUCUUUCUCUCUCACACACACACUAGCCCCAAUGUAUAAAAAUUGUAAUACCUUGUUUAUUUUAUGUAUGCUCCAUUUUAUUUGAAGAUUGGAGAUAUCUGGGCCUACAUAUCCAUUAUACAUAUCUAAAUAAUUACUCAAUAUCUAUCAAAUCAAAAUGUGAUUUGUAAUACAGUAUUGCUUGUUAAUGUGUACAGUUCUUGGGAAAAUUCUGUGUGGUUUUGUCUGAGUUGAACAUUUUCUUCCCUCGGUGUGCAAUAAAAGUGCAUUCAUAUUAAAUUACCGCUUUUGGAUUGUGUUUUUAAGUAAAAUACUUGUGGUAUUGGUGCAGAGUUCCAGUGCAGCUCUCUACAGUGCAGUUAAAAAAGCUAUAGGUG
RNAcentral lists this long non-coding RNA (1779 nucleotides) under Salmo salar (Atlantic salmon). RNAcentral's name for it is "lncRNA (ENSSSAG00000092289.1)". Lineage: Eukaryota; Metazoa; Chordata; Actinopteri; Salmoniformes; Salmonidae. The record is from RNAcentral.